UUACAUUGCAGGUGCUAAGCGCGAAAAGAUUCCAGAGGAAGUCUCAGAAAGAGAGUUAAAAAGGCGGGAACACACACACACACACACAGAGAGAAGUAUGUACGGCGGGAACAGCCAAUUCGACGGUAACGCGGCGUUUGCCGGCGGCGGUUUCAUGCCAUCGCAGGCCACACAAACCGCCGGCGAUCAUUCCUUCUCUCCAGCCAAGAAUCGUGAUUCACAGUCUUUGCUUCCACUAAGUGUCAAGCAAAUUAGUGAAGCCUUUCAAUCAAGUGAUGAUAAGACAAACUUUCUCAUUGAUGGGGUUGACGUGAAUAAUGUGAAAGUGGUGGGUAUUUUAUUCAACAAAUCGGAAAGGGUUACAGAAGUUUCAUUUGUAGUGGAUGAUGGAACAGGGCGCAUUGACUGUUCUCGAUGGUAAUUGUCAAUGACCCCCUUCUCCUGUUCCCUCUGUAUCUUCUUUGACGAGUUGGUGGUAAAGAUCCUAAGUUCUUAUCUUUGUGGUUUUAGGCCUGUGGAUGACUACAAUGAGAUUGCAAGCCACUUUGCAGAGGUCAUUUAUGUUCAUAGCUACAACAGUAAGCUACGGAGGCAACAGGAUAGUUCGUCUAUGUCAGCUCAAGUGCCUAGCUCAGCGGCCAACACUCCUUUAAAGGGAUAUCAAGCUUCACUGUCGACUCAAUUUCCUGGAUACAACAUGGACGGGAUCAGGGGUGUAGAUAAAAUGGUAUUGGACUACUUGCAACAACCGUCAUGCCUUGCACGUGAAAAAGGUGUUCAUCGCAAUGAGCUUGCUCAACAGCUAAAAGUUCCUUCGGAGAAGAUCUUAGAAGCUAUUGAAUCUCUCGAGUCUGAAGGUCUAGUUUACUCCACAAUAGACGAGUAUCACUACAAGUCUACUGCAAAUGGUUGAUGUUUGAUGUGGGAGACGAAACGAUAAGCAAUUUAGUAACAUGUGUCCUUUUUCACGUAUAUAUAGAUAGAGCAAGAAUGAAAAUGGAGACACCUUUUCCAUUUUUGAAGGAUAUAUUGCUGUUUCUUCCCUCAAAGAGAGUUUUGUGCACUAUGUUUGGUAGCUUUUCGAGAGUAGUAUGUUUUUAUCUCGUUGAAGCAACCUCCUUUUUUCCCCCUUGACUAGUUGACUUGAAGGGUUAAUUAGAAACUUAGCAUGCGGAGUAUGAUUUCCUAGUUAUUAGGCCAAACUCGA
This is a non-coding RNA of Nicotiana tabacum (common tobacco), 1207 nucleotides long. The record is from RefSeq and is a predicted model, not a curated record. NCBI's taxonomy places the organism in Eukaryota, Viridiplantae, Streptophyta, Magnoliopsida, Solanales, Solanaceae.